RNAcentral lists this long non-coding RNA (220 nucleotides) under Gossypium barbadense (sea-island cotton). RNAcentral's name for it is "long non-coding RNA (GBAR_LNC011393)". Lineage: Eukaryota; Viridiplantae; Streptophyta; Magnoliopsida; Malvales; Malvaceae. The record is from RNAcentral.
GGGUAGCUUGGAUCUCCGGAGUGGCUAGACCUAGUCAUCAAUCGCGACAAAGGUAAGUUUCCUAAGGCCAUUAUGGAUGGUGGCCGAAUGUGUAAGUAUUAGUAUUUAGAUGAUUUUUGGUUUGGUUCAAUUAUGGGAAGCUGAUUAUUAAUGAUGGAUUAUAGGAGAAAUCGUGUAGGAGAUCUCGUCGAGGAAUAUCGCCAAACAGGUGUGUAACGAA